This is a long non-coding RNA of Sapajus apella (tufted capuchin), 192 nucleotides long. RefSeq lists it as uncharacterized. The transcript is spliced from 2 exons. The record is from RefSeq and is a predicted model, not a curated record. NCBI's taxonomy places the organism in Eukaryota, Metazoa, Chordata, Mammalia, Primates, Cebidae.
UGGCGCCUGGGCUGCUCUUCUGGCUGCUCGUGCUUGGGCUGCCGUGGCGAGUGCCGGGCCAGCCGGACCCCAGCACUGGCCGGCGCUUCUCGGAAGACAAACUCUGUGCAGACGACGAACGCAGCAUGUUAAUGUACCAGGGUGAAGCUCUAGAAAAUUUCAGAGGCCCAGAUUGUCAUUUUGUGAAUUUUA